CGGAUUGAAGGCUGAAAUUGCCUUCAUGAAGCCGGAAUUGCUAGUAAUGGCAGGUCAGCAUACUGCCGUGAAUACGUUCCCGGGCCUUGUACACACCGCCCGUCACACCAUGAGAGUUGGGAAUACCCGAAGCCUGUGAGCUAACGAAAGAGGCAGCAGUCGAAGGUAGAAUCAAUGAUUGGGGUGAAGUCGUAACAAGGUAGC
Molecule: ribosomal RNA, 204 nt
Filed under: uncultured bacterium
Lineage: Bacteria
Description: partial 16S ribosomal RNA
Rfam family: Bacterial small subunit ribosomal RNA
Source: RNAcentral